RNAcentral lists this small RNA (534 nucleotides) under Pongo abelii (Sumatran orangutan). Its description in RNAcentral is "retained intron". The record is from RNAcentral. Lineage: Eukaryota; Metazoa; Chordata; Mammalia; Primates; Hominidae.
CUACUGCGCGGGGGCCUCAAGGAGCUUACGGAUCUGGAUUACCGCCCGAUUGCCAUGCAAUCACUGUGGAAUAUCAAGGUGGCAGUACUGGUCAAGCCAGAGCACGAGAACCGUAUCAGCCACGUCAGUACGUCCAGUGUGAAGACUGGCAUCGCCAACACCCUGGGGAACAAGGGGGCUGUGGGCGUCUCCUUCAUGUUCAAUGGCACCUCAUUUGGCUUUGUGAAUUGUCACCUCACCUCGGGAAAUGAGAAGACGGCUCGGUGAGGGGCACCUUUCCUAUGGUCUCUUUACACCCAUCCCAUUCACCUGAGGCAUGUUCCUGCUCCCAUAUCCCAGCCCAUGACUCUCCCGCAGGCCUGUCUCCAGAGACCCCCUGCUCUCUUAUCCCCAUUCAAGACCCUUCUGUUCCUGACCCUAACCUUGUCCCCAGGGGCCCGGAUCUUUACCCCAUCCCUGACUCCUGAGACUUCUUCCCUUUAUGCCUAUCCCUGACUUCUGGCCCUGACCCUGGGGAUCUACCCCUUCCCACCA